Molecule: non-coding RNA, 30 nt
Filed under: Rattus norvegicus (Norway rat)
Lineage: Eukaryota; Metazoa; Chordata; Mammalia; Rodentia; Muridae
Source: RNAcentral
UUCCAUCUUCUUAAUCGCAGUGCAGCUCAC